CUGCAACCUCUGCCUCCUGGGUUCAAGCGAUUCUUGUGCCUCAGUCUCCCCAGUAGCUGGGAUUACAAGGGCAUGCCAACACUCCCUGCUAAUUUUUUAUAUUUUUAGUAGAGACAGGGUUUCACCAUGUUGCCUAGGCUGGUCUUGAACUCCUGAGCUCAGGCAAUCCACCCACCUCGGCCUCCCAAAGUGCUGAGAUUACAGGUGUGAGCCACCGUGCCUGGUCUGACCUGUGCUUUUCACCUUCUCUGCACACCUGUGUGCCCUUUCUACAUGGGGCCUCAACUCCAGACCCCGCAAACAACAACUAACAUGAGGACAACUGCUGGGAAGAGGCUGAAGCAAUUGCAGCAUGAUCACACAAGUGAUAACCACCAAGCCAAAGGGACAGGAAGCUCUCGGCAUUGUUGGUGUUUUACUCAAGCCAUGGGACACAAGCUCUGCCAAAGAUAUGCAGGAGAAUUCAGCUCCAAGGGAAGGAGCAGAAACCCCAACCCUGAAGUCCCAGACACACAGGGCCUGCCUGAGGCUGAGGCUAGACCAGGACAACAAAGAAUUCUCCUGCUUCCCACCACAACGAUUGUUCAUAGCAAGUAAGAAGAAGCAGCCUACCACUGGGAGAUGGCAAGAGCACAGAGAGAGAGAAUGUCUGUGGUGCAAGAGUACCAAGGAGGCCAAAGCUGAGGAUGAAGAAGGAACAUUGAGGAAAACUCUCCAGGAC
RNAcentral lists this long non-coding RNA (721 nucleotides) under Homo sapiens (human). Its description in RNAcentral is "non-protein coding lnc-EXOC2-3:1". Lineage: Eukaryota; Metazoa; Chordata; Mammalia; Primates; Hominidae. The record is from RNAcentral.